AUGGAAGGUCAUAGUAGAGUUAAGUUUUUUUAUCGGCAAUUGUGUGCCAAAGAAAUUGCUCCAAAACGGAUGCGUGAACUUGAGGAGGAGGUUCCUGUUCUAUUAUGCAAGCUUGAGAAAAUAUUCCCACCAGGCUUCUUCAAUGUAAUGCAACACCUGAUAGUGUGUCUUCCAUAUGAGGCAAGGGUUGGUGGCCCUAUGGCAUAUCGUUGGAUGUAUGUUUUUGAGAGGGCAAUGCACUAUCUUCAUUUAAAAGUGCGAAAUAAGGCAAGAGUGGAGGGUUCAAUCGUUGAAGCUUGUAUUGUGCAGGAGAUCACGAAUUGUGUUUCUCUUUACUUUAGUGAUCAUGUCGCACUAUAUGGAAGAAGAAUCCUCGAUAUAAUAAUGGAGGAACACACGUGCAGAAUGAUGGUUGCACCUUAG
RNAcentral lists this ribosomal RNA (423 nucleotides) under Triticum aestivum (bread wheat). RNAcentral's name for it is "partial small subunit ribosomal RNA". The record is from RNAcentral. Lineage: Eukaryota; Viridiplantae; Streptophyta; Magnoliopsida; Poales; Poaceae.